UCAAUAAGCGGAGGAAAAGAAACUAACAAGGAUUCCCCUAGUAACGGCGAGUGAAGCGGGAAGAGCUCAAAUUUGUAAUCUGGCGGUCUACGGCCGUCCGAGUUGUAAUCUGGAGAAGCGUUUUCGGCGCCGGUCCGCGUACAAGUCCCCUGGAACGGGGCGUCGCAGAGGGUGAGAAUCCCGUCUUUGACGCGGUCCGCCGGUGCCGUGCGAUGCGCUCUCGAAGAGUCGAGUUGUUUGGGAAUGCAGCUCAAAACGGGUGGUAAAUUCCAUCUAAAGCUAAAUACUGGCGAAAGACCGAUAGCGAACAAGUACCGUGAGGGAAAGAUGAAAAGCACUUUGGAAAGAGAGUCAAACAGUACGUGAAAUUGUUGAAAGGGAAACGCUUGAAGUCAGUCGCGUCUCUCGGGACUCAGCCGAGAAACCCUUCUCGGUGCAUUUCCCGAGUCUGGACGGGCCAGCAUCGGUUUCGACCGUCGUAAAAAGGCUUGAGGAACGUGGCACCCUCGGGUGUGUUAUAGCCUCUCGUCGUAUGCGACGGACGGGACCGAGGAACGCAGCGCGCCCCUCGCGGGGCCGGGGUUCGCCCACGUAACGCGCUUAGGAUGCUGGCGUAAUGGCUUUAA
This 626-nucleotide ribosomal RNA is filed under the name Laternea triscapa. RNAcentral's name for it is "eukaryotic LSU rRNA". It matches the Rfam family "Eukaryotic large subunit ribosomal RNA", at positions 43 to 643 of the family's 3401-position model. The record is from RNAcentral. Lineage: Eukaryota; Fungi; Basidiomycota; Agaricomycetes; Phallales; Phallaceae.